GCUGGCGGCGAUCUAAGNAAAAGGAUCAAGUGGGUUUAGACCCACGGCGAACGGGUGAGUAAUACCUAGCAACGUACCUUUAGAAAAGCAUAACCCGCCGAAAGGCGGGAUAAUACUCGAUAUGGCCGCAAGGUUAAAGCAGCAAUGCGCUAAAGAAACGGCCUGGGCACCAUCAGCUUGUUGGUAAGGUAACGGCUUACCAAGGCUACGACGGUUAGGGGCCCCGAGAGGGGAGACCCCCACACUGGAACUGAGACACGGUCCAGACUCCUACUGGAGGCAGCAGU
RNAcentral lists this ribosomal RNA (287 nucleotides) under uncultured bacterium. Its description in RNAcentral is "partial 16S ribosomal RNA". It matches the Rfam family "Bacterial small subunit ribosomal RNA", at positions 35 to 355 of the family's 1533-position model. The record is from RNAcentral.